Molecule: ribosomal RNA, 322 nt
Filed under: uncultured Imbricatea
Lineage: Eukaryota; Cercozoa; Imbricatea
Description: SSU rRNA
Rfam family: Eukaryotic small subunit ribosomal RNA (bases 110-322)
Source: RNAcentral
GAUUUCUGGCUCGUUGCCCUAGCCCGCUUACUUCGGUGGGUGAGUGCUGGUGCAAUCUGCCAUCCUUCCAGAGAGCCGUGAGUACCAUUUACUUGGCCGCUCGCGUGCGAUCUGGAUCAUUUACUUUGAAAAAAUUAGAGUGUUUAAAGCAGGCUUACGCCUUGAAUACAUUAGCAUGGAAUAAUAACAUAGGACUUCGGUUCUAUUUUGUUGGUUUCUAGGACCUUAGUAAUGAUUGAUAGGGAUAGUUGGGGGUGCUAGUAUUCAGCGGCCAGAGGUGAAAUUCUCGGAUUCGCUGAAGACUAACUUAUGCGAAAGCAUU